UACGUAGAAGGCGAACGUUAUCCGGAUUUACUGGGCGUAAAGCGGGUGUAGACGGCUUUGUAAGUCAGUUGUGAAAUCUCCCGACUCAAUCGGGAGCGUGCAAUUGAUACUGGAGAGCUUGAGGGCAUCAGAAGAAGCAGAAUUCACGGUGUAGCGGUGAAAUGCGUAGAUAUCGUGAGGAAUACCAGUGGCGACGGCGGCUUUCUAGGGUGCUCCUGACGUUGAGGCCCGAAAGUGUGGGGAGCGAAACGG
RNAcentral lists this ribosomal RNA (252 nucleotides) under uncultured microorganism. Its description in RNAcentral is "partial small subunit ribosomal RNA". It matches the Rfam family "Bacterial small subunit ribosomal RNA", at positions 524 to 776 of the family's 1533-position model. The record is from RNAcentral.